GACGAACGCUGGCGGCGUGCCUAACACAUGCAAGUCGAACGGGGUGAUUUCCUUCGGGAGAUCACUUAGUGGCGAACGGGUGAGUAACGCGUGAGGAACCUGCCUUUCAGUGGGGGACAACAGUUGGAAACGACUGCUAAUACCGCAUAAUGUAGCGAGACCGCAUGAUCUUGCUACCAAAGCUUUAUGUGCUGAAAGAUGGCCUCGCGUCUGAUUAGCUAGUUGGUGAGGUAACGGCUCACCAAGGCGACGAUCAGUAGCCGGUCUGAGAGGAUGAACGGCCACAUUGGGACUGAGAUACGGCCCAGACUCCUACGGGAGGCAGCAGUGGGGAAUAUUGGGCAAUGGGGGAAACCCUGACCCAGCAACGCCGCGUGAAGGAAGAAGGUCUUCGGAUUGUAAACUUUGUCAACAGGGAAGAAAAAAAUAGACGGUACCUGUUAAGAAAGCCACGGCUAACUACGUG
RNAcentral lists this ribosomal RNA (466 nucleotides) under uncultured bacterium. RNAcentral describes it as "bacterial SSU rRNA". It matches the Rfam family "Bacterial small subunit ribosomal RNA", at positions 28 to 507 of the family's 1533-position model. The record is from RNAcentral.